RNAcentral lists this ribosomal RNA (589 nucleotides) under uncultured bacterium. RNAcentral describes it as "bacterial SSU rRNA". It matches the Rfam family "Bacterial small subunit ribosomal RNA", at positions 337 to 917 of the family's 1533-position model. The record is from RNAcentral.
UCCUACGGGAGGCAGCAGUAGGGAAUCUUCCGCAAUGGACGAAAGUCUGACGGAGCAACGCCGCGUGAGUGAUGAAGGUUUUCGGAUCGUAAAGCUCUGUUGUUAGGGAAGAACAAGUGCGAGAGUAACUGCUCGCACCUUGACGGUACCUAACCAGAAAGCCACGGCUAACUGCGUGCCAGCAGCCGCGGUAAUACGUAGGUGGCAAGCGUUGUCCGGAAUUAUUGGGCGUAAAGGGCUCGCAGGCGGUUUCUUAAGUCUGAUGUGAAAGCCCCCGGCUCAACCGGGGAGGGUCAUUGGAAACUGGGAAACUUGAGUGCAGAAGAGGAGAGUGGAAUUCCACGUGUAGCGGUGAAAUGCGUAGAGAUGUGGAGGAACACCAGUGGCGAAGGCGACUCUCUGGUCUGUAACUGACGCUGAGGAGCGAAAGCGUGGGGAGCGAACAGGAUUAGAUACCCUGGUAGUCCACGCCGUCAACGAUGAGUGCUAAGUGUUAGGGGGUUUCCGCCCCUUAGUGCUGCAGCUAACGCAUUAAGCACUCCGCCUGGGGAGUACGGUCGCAAGACUGAAACUCAAAUGAAUUGACGGA